CGAGGCUGCGUUCCGGCGCGGCCUCGUUUUCUCCUUCGAAGCUACUGCCUUCUAAGCAGUAGGUUGAAGGUUUCCAAAUCCUUCCGCGUUGG
Molecule: transfer RNA, 92 nt
Filed under: Agrobacterium sp. OT33
Lineage: Bacteria; Pseudomonadati; Pseudomonadota; Alphaproteobacteria; Hyphomicrobiales; Rhizobiaceae
Description: tRNA-Arg
Source: RNAcentral